This 466-nucleotide ribosomal RNA is filed under the name Bacillus licheniformis. Its description in RNAcentral is "bacterial SSU rRNA". It matches the Rfam family "Bacterial small subunit ribosomal RNA", at positions 68 to 515 of the family's 1533-position model. The record is from RNAcentral. Lineage: Bacteria; Bacillati; Bacillota; Bacilli; Caryophanales; Bacillaceae.
GACAGAUGGGGAGCUUGCUCCCUGAUGUCAGCGGCGGACGGGUGAGUAACACGUGGGUAACCUGCCUGUAAGACUGGGAUAACUCCGGGAAACCGGGGCUAAUACCGGAUGCUUGAUUGAACCGCAUGGUUCAAUUAUAAAAGGUGGCUUUUAGCUACCACUUACAGAUGGACCCGCGGCGCAUUAGCUAGUUGGUGAGGUAACGGCUCACCAAGGCAACGAUGCGUAGCCGACCUGAGAGGGUGAUCGGCCACACUGGGACUGAGACACGGCCCAGACUCCUACGGGAGGCAGCAGUAGGGAAUCUUCCGCAAUGGACGAAAGUCUGACGGAGCAACGCCGCGUGAGUGAUGAAGGUUUUCGGAUCGUAAAACUCUGUUGUUAGGGAAGAACAAGUACCGUUCGAAUAGGGCGGUACCUUGACGGUACCUAACCAGAAAGCCACGGCUAACUACUUGCCAUCAGC